RNAcentral lists this ribosomal RNA (3440 nucleotides) under Ambystoma mexicanum (axolotl). RNAcentral describes it as "eukaryotic LSU rRNA". The stretch from base 1054 to 3430 matches the Rfam family "Eukaryotic large subunit ribosomal RNA". The record is from RNAcentral. Lineage: Eukaryota; Metazoa; Chordata; Amphibia; Caudata; Ambystomatidae.
AUAGUGCUGGUUGGGGACUGAUAGGGCUGGAGCGCAGCACCCUGGGUAGGAGAAGGAACCAUAACGUUGUGGUAGCCACUAGUUCCCAUCCGAGAAAGGGACCAUAGCAACGGCCCUCCAUUCUUUCUACGUCAUCAUUGUGAUGUUUCCGGAGCAAUGAAGCGGUUCCGCAGCAAUUUCAGUGAAAGCUGAGCGGGAUUCGUGAAGCGGGAAGGCUGUGGCUGCAUUUUCUCCAGGAUACCGGGAACUUUUCUGCAAGACCCUGGAGCGUCUGACUUCAUCUUGCCCCUCGUCAUUUUUCUGAGCAGGAACCGGGAAGGGACUGACUGCCGAGCUGCAAGAGCAGCAACAAUCCGUCUGCCCAUGGCUGGCAGAGUACACAGUUUGCAUUUUCUUCGGGAUACCUCGAACGUUCCUGCAAGACACCAGACGAGGAGCGGACACUUACAAAUACUUUAAAAAUCAUGUUCAGCUUCGGUCUGGCGGGAGAGACAGGGACACAGUGGUGUGGGUCUGGAGGGAGGGAUAGGGACACAUUGGUGUGGUUCUGGGGGGAGGGAUAGGGACAGCAGUGUGGGGAGGGAGGGAGAUAUAGAGACACAGUGGUGUGGGUCUGGAGGGAGGAAUAGGGACACAGUGGUGUAAGUCUGGAGGGAGGGUUGGGGCACAGUGUUGUGGGUCUGGAGGGAGAAAUGGAGCCACAUUGGUGUGGGUUUGAUGGGAGGGAUGGGGGACAUGGACUGUGCCUGGGAGGGAUGGUUCGUCCAGGUGUGGGUCUCGAGGCCAGGAUGGGACAUCUUGCCUUAUGGAGGGAUGGUGGCAUCUUGUGGGGUCUGGAAUGGAUGGGGGCACAUUGGUGUUGGUCUGCAGGAAGGAAUGGGACAUCCUGGUUUGGGUUGGAUAGGAACAUUGGUGUGGGUCUGUAGGGAGGGUAUGGGGGCACAUUGGUGUGGGUUUGAUGGGAGGGACAGGCACAUUGCUCUGAUGGUGGCAUCUUGGUUGGGGUCUGCAAUGGAUGGGGGCACAUUGGUGUUGGUCUGGAACAGGCAAGGGGCAUCUGUGGUCUGGAGGGUGAAAUGGGGCAUCCUUGUGUAGGUGGGAUGCAGCAUCUUGGUGUGGCUCUGGAGGGAGGGAUGGGGCAUAUUGGUGUUGUUCUGAGAGGGAGGGAUGGGGCACAACAAUGCCUGCUCUGGCAGGGAGAUGGAGCAUGAGCGUCUGUGAUAGGACCCGAAAGAUGGUGAACUAGGCCUGGUGGAGGUCCGUAGCAGUCCUGAUGUGUAAAUCGAUCGUCUGACCUGGGUAUAGGGGCGAAGAAGACUAAUCGAACCAUCUACUAGCUGGUUCCCUCCAGAGUUUCCCUCAGGAUAGCUGGCACACAGAACCCCCCCAGUUUUAUCUGGUAAAGCGAAUGAUUAGAGGUAUUGGGGCCUCUCAACCUAUUCUGUAACUUUAAAUGGGUAAGAAGCCUGACUCGCUGGCGUGGAGCUGGGCAUUGAAUGCAAGUGCUCAGUGGCCAACUUUUGUUAAGCAGAGCUGGUGCUGCGAGAUGAACCAAAUGCUGGUUUAAGGCGCCCAAUGCCGACGCUCAUGAGACCCCACAAAGGUGUUGGUUGAUAUAGACAGCAGGACAGUGGCCGUGGAAGUUGGAAUCCACUAAAGCGCCCCAGGCAUGGGUCUCUUCUUUGUGAAGGGCAGGGCACCCUGGAAUAGGUUCGCCGUGAGAGAGGGGCCGAGCCUUGAAAGCGUUGCGUUUCCAGCGGCAUGCAGUGAGCUCUUGCUGGUCCUUGGAAAUCCGGGGGAGAUGGUGUAAAUCUCACGCCAGGCCGUACCCAUAUCCACAGCAGGUCGCCAAGGUGAACAGCCUCUGGCAUGUUGGAACAAUGUAGGUAAGGGAAGUCUGCUAGUCAGUCCGUAUUUUCGGUAUAAGGAUUGGCUGUAAGGGCUGGGUUGGUCGGGCUGGGGUGCAAAGCGGGGCUGGGCGUGCACUGCAGCUGGACGAGGUGUCUCAUCCCCCGGGGGCAGCGUCGACUCUGGAUACGGACCGAGCCGUGCCUGUGGAUCGCCCCAGAUGUGGUGGUCGCCUCUCCAUUCCCCUCCUGGGGUUCAGGGCCGACGUUCUGCCUCGACCGAUGCCUAGCAGCUGACUUAGAACUGGUGCGGACCAGGGGAAUCUGACUGUUUAAUUAAAACAAAGCAUCGCGAAGGCCUGCGGUGGGUGUUGACGCGAUGUGAUUUCUGCCCAGUGCUCUGAAUGUCAAAUUGAAGAAAUUCAAUGAAGCGCGGGUAAACCACAGGAGUAACUAUGACUCCCUUAAGGUAGCCAAAUGCCUCAUCAUCUAAUUAGUGACGCGCAUGAAUGGAUGACCGAGAUUCCCACUGUCCCUACCUACUAUCUAGCGAAACCACAGCCAAAGGAACAGGCUUGGCAGAAUCAGCGGGGAAAGAAUUCACAUGUGCGCUUGCCUCUCGUCUGGCACUGUAAAGAGACAUGAGGAUAAGUGGGAGGCCCCUGGGCAGCCAGUGAAAUACCACUAUUAUCGUUUUUUCACUUACCCGGUGAGGUGGGGGACGAGCCCUGUGGGCUCUCACUUCUGGCGCCCGCUGUGCGCAACCUGCUCCGGGGACGGUGGCAGGUGGGGAGUUUGACUGGGCGGCACACCUGUCAAACGAUAACACAGGUGUCCUAAGGUGAGCUCAGGAAGGACAGAAACCUCCGGAGCAGAAGGGCAAAAGCUCGCCUGAUCUCGAUUUUUCAGUAUGAUUACAGUUCGUGAAAGCGGGGCCUCACGAUCCUUCUGACAUUUUGAGUUUCAAGCAGGAGGUGUCAGAAAAGUUACCACAGGGAGAACUGGCUUGUGGCGGCCAAGCAAUCAUAGCAACGUCACUUUUUGAUCCUUCGAUGUCGGCUCUUCCUAUCAUUGUGAAGCAGAAUUCACCAAUUGUUGGAUUGGUCACCCACUAAUAGGGAACGUGAAGUGGGUUUAGACCGUCGUGAGAUAGAUUCGUUUUACCCUACUGAUGAUGUGUUGUUGCAAUAGUAAUCCUGCUCAGUACAAGAGUAAACGCAGGUUCAGACAUUUGGUGUAUGUGCUUGGCUUGGAGCCAAUGGGGCAAACCUACCAUCUGUGGGAUUAUGACUGAACGCCUCUAAGUCAGAAUUCCCCCAACCCCAACUGUAACGAUACUGCAGCGCUGUCAACCUCAGUUGGCCUAGGAUUGCCGGCCUCUGGGCCGGUGCGUAUAGUCGCUCGCCUCGGGACUCGAGUGUGGACAGAAGGGGCCACCUCUCUCACUCGUAGUAUACCGCAUGUCGUGGGGAACCUGGUGCUAAAUCAUUCAUAGAUGACCUGAUUCUGGUUCAGGGUUUCGUAAGUAGCAGAGCAGCUACCUCGCUGCGAUCUAUUGAAAGUCAUCCUCUGAUAUGAUAUGGCAUUUAUAAU